Molecule: ribosomal RNA, 308 nt
Filed under: uncultured eukaryote
Lineage: Eukaryota
Description: partial 18S ribosomal RNA
Rfam family: Eukaryotic small subunit ribosomal RNA
Source: RNAcentral
CCCUUAGACGUUCUGGGCCGCACGCGCGCUACACUGACGAAGGCAACGAGCUUUCCUUUACCGAAAGGUACGGGUAAUCUUUUGAAACUUCGUCGUGCUGGGGAUAGAUCCUUGCAAUUAUUGAUCUUAAACGAGGAAUUCCUAGUAAGUGCAAGUCAUCAACUUGCGUUGAUUACGUCCCUGCCCUUUGUACACACCGCCCGUCGCUACUACCGAUUGAAUGGUUUAGUGAGGCCUUCGGAUCCGCGACUCGUUUUGUGGAGAAGUUGGACAAACUCAGUCAUUUAGAGGAAGUAAAAGUCGUAACA